CCCCUGUCUGCUCCAGAACCUUCCACCCUGCAGGACUCCUCCCUAGCCCCAUUGCUGGAUAUGCUCACUCUGUGAGGCCGCCAUGAAGGCAAAGCCUGCAUCCAUGUGACAGACUCCACUGAAGGGGCAGGAAUUCCUGCGGGUAGAAGAAGUCAUUCAAAAUGAUGCAUGUCGCAUGACUGCCCAAGGGAAUAACAACCAAAACCUGUUAACAGGAUGUCCCCUUAUUGGAAACCCCAGGACACAAGGAAGAGGCCAAGAUGUCUUCUUUCAGAUGACCAUUCUCUGAACCCUGACUCAGUGGCCAGCAGAGUCCUUGAGGAGUUCAGAGUCUAGAGAGAGAUCAACAGAUACGUUAGUACCUGUUUUUGCUAACCGAAGAAAUCUGAAGAGGAUUUUCGCUUUUAUGAAAGAUGACAAACGGCGAAAAGAGAGCUCUGCGCUUGUUUCACGUCAAGCUGUCAGAGAAGCAGCGCGCACUCCUGGUGGCCAGAGUGGGCCCACCAAGCUCCUUCCUGGGAACCUCGCUCAGCAGCUCAGCAUCAGGCCGCCAGAGACUUGAACUGUGGCCGUAAGUGCCUGUGCUUUCUCGCGAUUUAUUUUACAUAUACAUGAGCAAGAUGUGUCCUAAAGCAAGCAUAUCAGAAAAGCCUAACAGGCUUUUUUGGGCGUCUGGGAAUGCUGAAGAAUUUUUCCAUAUCAACGAAUGGCAAUUGCUUCUUUAUACAACUUCAGCUUAUGAAAGAUUUCAUAGGAACGCAGGGGAAACCUGUAACCAAGGUGGGAGACUUCAGCCCAGGAAAGGGGAGCUGGGGACUGGGAAGGUAGGAAACCUGGAGCAGCUGUCCUGCUGGCUCAGAUGGUAGAGCAUACAACUCUUGAUCUCAGGGUCAUGAGUUUGAGCUCCACUUUGGGAAUAGAGUUUACUUAAAAAAUAA
Molecule: long non-coding RNA, 938 nt
Organism: Neogale vison (American mink)
Lineage: Eukaryota; Metazoa; Chordata; Mammalia; Carnivora; Mustelidae
Exons: 3
Source: RefSeq, a predicted model, not a curated record